This is a long non-coding RNA of Suricata suricatta (meerkat), 397 nucleotides long. RefSeq lists it as uncharacterized. NCBI's taxonomy places the organism in Eukaryota, Metazoa, Chordata, Mammalia, Carnivora, Herpestidae. The transcript is spliced from 2 exons. The record is from RefSeq and is a predicted model, not a curated record.
CUCAGUGAUGCAAGGGAAAUGUCUGAGGCCAGAGGCUUGACUGUGUGGUGCUGUUUAUUUGAUAGAAGUGCAGGGCGUUAGGAGGGAGGAAUUUCAAGUCCACUUGUUACGAGAAGACGUUGAUCUAUUUAUUGGACACUGGAAAUUAAACACUCCUCCCCUCCAACAGGCUGGAGCUGGGGAACAGCUGGAAACAACGUGUACCACAAUUUGUAGAAAGUAUGCAGUAUUCAAGUAUUAAAUACUGAAAUACAAUUGUGUCUUAAAGUAACUAGAGGACGUCAGAGUCACCAGAAAUGUGUGGCUGAGUUACAGAACUUGUCACAAGAAGAAAACAGUUAUUUUAUUGUUGCAUUCUGCUUGUUAAAAGUUCAAAUUAUAUACAUUUCAAUCUUUA